This 274-nucleotide ribosomal RNA is filed under the name uncultured bacterium. RNAcentral describes it as "partial 16S ribosomal RNA". It matches the Rfam family "Bacterial small subunit ribosomal RNA", at positions 523 to 796 of the family's 1533-position model. The record is from RNAcentral.
AUACGGAGGGGACUAACGUUGUUCGGAUUUACUGGGCGUAAAGGGUGCGUAGGCGGACCUUCAAGUCGGAUGUGAAAUCUAUAGGCUCAACUUAAAGCUUGCAUUCGAAACUGAUGGUCUUGAGUGGAUUAGAGGAAUGCGGAAUUCCAGGUGUAGCGGUGAAAUGCGUAGAUAUCUGGAGGAACACCAGUAGCGAAGGCGGCAUUCUGGGAUCAUACUGACGCUGAAGCACGAAGGCUAGGGGAGCAAACAGGAUUAGAAACCCCAGUAGUCC